GAUAACUAAAGUUGUACUAUGGUGUAGUGGUUUCAAGCUGUGCCUCAUUUUUGCUUUGAACGGCAUGGGUUCGAAACCAGCUACACCAUUUUACCUUGUUUUUUUUUUUUCCUUUUCGUUUUUUUUCUUUAGUUUUUUUGUUUUCAUUUUUUUUUCCUUUUUCCGGUUUUUUUUGCUUUUUAUAUCCUUUUUCGUUUUGUUUUUUUUUUUCUUCAGUUUUUUUUGCUUUUAUUUUUGCUUUUCGUUAGCUCCUUUAUUUUCUUCUAUUUUUCUGUUUAAUUUUUUAUUUUCAACACUUUUUUUUCUAUUUUCUUCAUUUUUUUUAAUAUUACCUUUAUUCAUAUUAAUAGUUAUUUAAAUGUAUACAUUGUUUCACUGUAAAAAUUACUUUUGGUUACAAUAAGUUAUACUUUCUCUGAACCUAUUAUAUGUUAUCUUAAUUGAAGUUUUAUUAAUUAAAAUGUUUACAUUGUAUAAAUGUAAAUUUUACUUUUCUAUACAACAAAUAAUACAUUUACUGAAUGUAUGAUAUUUUGUUGUUAUUGAAGAUUUAUUGUUAUUGUUAUUGCCUUUUGUUUUAGUAAUAAUGAUGACACAUAAUGUUGAUGAAACAAAUGAUGAUACAAACACUGCGGGUUCUGAUUCACCAACUUAAAAUGUUGAUUCAUCAAGUGUGAAUACUAAAUCCAAAAGGAAAUAUUCUUUUUAUUUAUCCUAAUAUAUACAUUAUUGUGCAUAAAUGUAUGCCGAUGUGAAUAUAAAUAUUACCAAUCAUUCAAUAUUUUGUAAACCCUAAACACUGAAUACUAAACCCUAACCAUUCAAUAAUAAAUCCAAAUGAUAAUAUUUAAUUUUAUUUUAUCUAAGAUAUAUAUUUCCAUGCUUAAAUGUAUACUUAUGUGAAUAUAAAUAUUAAUCAUCAUUCAAUAUUUUUUAAACCUAAACACGGAAUACUAAACCCUAAACACUGAAUACUAAACCCUANGCGCCUGCGCAGCGUGCUUAAUUGCGCACGGCGCAGCAUAGACACACCCAUUGCAUCCCCUAAAAUACCGUCUAUCCUUCACUGUACUAGGUAGAUUCUCAUGGAAGACAAAGCUAUAUUUAUAUAAUUUCUACUGGGAAAUACUUUGUUCGUCCCACUCCAAUAGACUCACUUUUUUUGGACAAGAAAAUUAAAAAAAUUUACUUUUUAGUAGAAAAGUGAUAGUAAAGUGGUGUGGUCCACACCAAUUAAGAUAAUUUUUUUACUAAAAAGGAAAUGAGCUUAUUGGAGUGGAACAUCCCAAAAAGAAAAAUGAGCCUAUUGGAGUGGGACGGAGGGAAUACUAAUUUUUUAAAACAUAUAGUAUAUAAUUUCUGCUGGGAAAUAAUUACUACUUAUGUCGUCUCGAUUCAAUAGAUGACAAAGUUUGGACAUGAAUAUUAAAAAACGAAUAAUUUAUAAUAAAAUAUAAAAAAAAUAUUUUUUUAAGAAUAUAUUUGUCCAAAAAAUAGAAGUUCGAAAUGAAGAUAUUAUUUUAUAAAUGAAAGAAGAGAUAAUUAUGUCAUCUACUAUAGAGAGUCAAGGUGGGCUCUUAAAUGUGGUCCCCAUCAUUUAAGAGACGAUCCUCCACUAUGGAAGAGCCACACCUCCAACUCUUAAAUUUUGAUUUUGAUUUUAUAUUUAUUUUAAUGUUUACUUUCAAUUAAUUUUAACACUAUAUUUAAUAAUAUAAAUUUCAUUAAAAUUAAAAUUAAUAGAAGCAUCUCAAUUUAUAGAAUAGUGUAGAAAAAAUAUAAAAGACAAACAUCUUAAAUUUAUAGAAGCAAGUUUGAAGAUAACAAAAUUAAAAAUUUAAAGGGGGGGGGGAGGAGGUAAAGAGCCGUUUUUACAACGGUUGUCUGACCAAAGUAGCCGUUUCCCAACAAUUUUGAUUUUUUUUUUAAUUUUCAAAAUUAUGCACGCGCCCAACAAAAAUGGGCUCUCCUGGGAUGGAGUAAGUACUAUUUAAUAUUUUCUUUGUCCCGUCCUGUUAAAAGUAGCUUUUUUUUUCGAUAAUGAAAUUAAGAAAAAAGUGUAAAUUGAGAAAAAGUUGUAGGACCCACGUAUUCUCAAAGGUUAAUUAUUGUCUUUUAUAGAAUGGGCUACUUUCAGUGAGAAUGACCAAAAUAAAAAACGAGUCACUUUUAGCAGGACAGAUGGAGUAGUAUUUCGUAGGUAUAUAUAUAUAUAUAUAUAUAUAGAGAAAGAUAAAUAUUCAAUUGAGAAAUGCAAAUAUAUUAAAAAGGGAUGGACUUGCAUGUGGGAGUCCGCAUCCUAUGUGGCCGGGUCAGGUCCGUCCUGACCCGACCCGUUUUGAACGUAUGUAUAUUAGGUUUGAGAAAUGAUAACUAAAGUUGUACUAUGGUGUAGUGGUUUCAAGCUGUGCCUCAUUUUUGCUUUGAACGGCAUGGGUUCGAAACCAGCUACACCAUUUUACCUUGUUUUUUUUUUUUUUUCCUUUUUCGUUUUUUUUUCUAGUUUUUUUGUUUUCAUUUUUUUUUCCUUUUUCCGGUUUUUUUUGUCUUUUUAUAUCCUUUUUCGUUUUGUUUUUUUUUUUCUUCAGUUUUUUUUGCUUUUAUUUUUGCUUUUCGUUAGCUCCUUUAUUUUCUUCUAUUUUUCUGUUUAAUUUUUUAUUUUCAACACUUUUUUUUCUAUUUUCUUCAUUUUUUUUUAAUAUUACCUUUAUUCAUAUUAAUAGUUAUUUAAAUGUAUACAUUGUUUCACUGUAAAAAUUACUUUUGGUUACAAUAAGUUAUACUUUCUCUGAACCUAUUAUAUGUUAUCUUAAUUGAAGUUUUAUUAAUUAAAAUGUUUACAUUGUAUAAAUGUAAAUUUUACUUUUCUAUACAACAAAUAAUACAUUUACUGAAUGUAUGAUAUUUUGUUGU
Molecule: long non-coding RNA, 2913 nt
Filed under: Salvia miltiorrhiza (redroot sage)
Lineage: Eukaryota; Viridiplantae; Streptophyta; Magnoliopsida; Lamiales; Lamiaceae
Description: long non-coding RNA (SMIL_LNC012322)
Source: RNAcentral